GGCCGGGUGGCGCAAUGGUAGCGCGUUGGUUUUCGGUUCCUUAGCUAGGUAAAGCCUACCAAAGGUUUGCGGGUUCGAGUCCCGUCUCGGUCG
RNAcentral lists this transfer RNA (93 nucleotides) under Paecilomyces variotii. Its description in RNAcentral is "Byssochlamys spectabilis tRNA". It matches the Rfam family "tRNA". Rfam says of the family: Transfer RNA (tRNA) molecules are approximately 80 nucleotides in length. Their secondary structure includes four short double-helical elements and three loops (D, anti-codon, and T loops). Further hydrogen bonds mediate the characteristic L-shaped molecular structure. tRNAs have two regions of fundamental functional importance: the anti-codon, which is responsible for specific mRNA codon recognition, and the 3' end, to which the tRNAs corresponding amino acid is attached (by aminoacyl-tRNA synthetases). tRNAs cope with the degeneracy of the genetic code in two manners: having more than one tRNA (with a specific anti-codon) for a particular amino acid; and 'wobble' base-pairing, i.e. permitting non-standard base-pairing at the 3rd anti-codon position. Lineage: Eukaryota; Fungi; Ascomycota; Eurotiomycetes; Eurotiales; Thermoascaceae. The record is from Rfam by way of RNAcentral.